This is an RNA transcript of Helianthus annuus (common sunflower), 3389 nucleotides long. It is a transcript of the gene named pentatricopeptide repeat-containing protein At5g40400, with no coding region annotated. The record is from RefSeq and is a predicted model, not a curated record. The transcript is spliced from 3 exons. Lineage: Eukaryota; Viridiplantae; Streptophyta; Magnoliopsida; Asterales; Asteraceae.
UUCAAAAUCGUCCAACAUCACGCCGCGAAGAUUAUCGCGCUUCAAAAAAAUUUUCGAGCAUAGCGCCCUUGGGGGCGGUGUUUCCGGCGCUAUAAUGGCGCGAUCUCCAUUUUGGGCGGUAUAUCAAGCCCCACUACGUUCAACCUAAUGGUCGCGUAUGCUCAAUACUAAAAACCCUAAUCUCAUAACCAUUAAAAUGAACAUGGAUGAAAGAUGAAAAAAUGAUCUGACCAAUUUAGAAGAGGGUUUAGAUUGUCGGAAAGUGGUGCCAUCAGCCUCAACUGUUGGUCGGAAUCAGGUAUGCCGACGGAGAAUUGGGCGGUUUUGCAUUAACGGCCUCUCACCACCCUGCAAAACGAACAGUUGAUCGGAAUCAGGUAUGCAAAUCUCCUACUUUACACAUUAACAUCAUCAAACAUGAAUCGAACUUCCAUCAUCAAUCAACCCCUUCUCAAAUCAAUUUCACACCCACUUUCCAAACCACCAAACCCCAAUCUUUCACCCCUACAAACAUUACCCAACUCAAAACCAAACCCACUUUACAAUCUUCUCCCCCACACCCAAAACCCCAACAAGAUUGUCAACAUCAUAUGCACAAAUCUCAAGAACAGAAAAACCACCCUUCUUGACACCCACAUGAUCCCCCAUAUAGGCACUCAAGAAAUCUCAAGGGUUCUUCUUCGAUGCCAGUCUGACCCAUUUGCAGCUCUUUCUUUCUUCAAUUGGGUCAAAAAAGAUUUAACCUUUGGCCCAACUGUUCAAGAUUAUUGUAUCAUGUUGCAUAUAUUAGCUUGGUCUCAUAAGUUUUCGGCAACAAUGAGUCUUUUAUCUGAGUUGAUUGAGGUUAAUAAAACUAAAGAUGGGAAAGUUAGUAUUUUUGAGAAUUUGGUUAUGUGUUGUAAAGAUUGUAGUUGGGAUCCGGUUGUGUUCGAUAUGCUUCUCAAGGCGUAUUUAAAAGCGGGUUUGGUUCGUGACGGGUUUGUUACGUUUAGGAAGAUGGUUAAGCUUGGUUUUGUACCGAAAAUUGUUUCGGUUAACUUUCUUUUGGAUGGGCUUUUGAAGUUGAAUCGGGUUGAUGAGUGUUGGGGGGUUUAUGAAGAGAUGGGGAGAAUCGGUGUUCGUGGUAACGCGUUUACUUUUAAUAUAUUGACUCAUGUCGUAUGCAAGAGUGAGGAUGUUGAUAAGGUGAAUACGUUUUUGGAGAAAAUGGAAGAAGAAGGAUUUGAUCCCGAUAUUGUCACGUACAACACGCUUAUAGAUAGUUAUGUGAGAAAAGGACGGUUGAAAGACGCGCAUUAUCUUUAUAAUAUCAUGUAUAUAAGACGUGUGACGCCUGAUUUAAUCACUCAUACGUCUUUAAUUAACGGGCUUUGUAAAGAAGGUAAUGUAAGGGAAGCCCAUAAGCUUUUUCAUCGCAUGGUUCAAAUCGGGGUGAACCCGGAUGCGUUUUCGUACAAUACGUUAAUAUGCGGUUACGUUAACAAAGGAAUGAUGCAAGAAGCACGCGCUUUGCUUCAUGAAAUGAUCAAAGAAAAAGUCGCCCCUAAUGGUUUCACUUGUUUAGUACUUAUAGAAGGAUAUAAAAAGGAAAACAAGUUGAUUUCAGCUGUGAAUCUUAUCGUAGAGCUUCAAAAAUUCAGAAUUUCGGUUUCGAAAGAUCUCCAAACCGAUCUUGUCAUUGCUUUGUGCCGAGUAGAUAAACCGUUUGCAGCCAAGAGUCUGUUCGAACGCAUAGUGCACGACGGGGAAGAGACAAAUUUACAAAUCUACGACGAACUGAUUGUUUCGUUUUGUAGAACAAAUUACGUAAACGAGGCUAUACAGCUAAAAGACGAGAUGUUUUUCAAGAAUGUUAAGCCGAGUUUGAUCACUUAUCGAGCAAUCAUCGAGUGUUUGUGUAGACUAAAUAGAACAACGGAGGGUGAAAUUUUUAUGAGGGAUAUGGCUGAAUUUGGCAUUCACCCCGAUGCGACAAUUUGCAGAUCGUUGGUUUCGGGUCAUUGUAAAGAGAAGAAUAUUAAUCAAGCGGAAGUGUUAUUGAUCCUAUUUGCUGAGGAGUUUCAGUUACGUUACAAUGAAUGCUAUAACGAGGUCUUCAAAGUAGUUUGUGAGGAAGGUGAUAUGAAUAAGUCGCUGGAAUUCCAGAACAGAAUGCAAAGAAUUGGGUACACUCCGAACGGUUUGAGUUUCAAGUAUGCAAUUGAUGGAUUGUUAAGAACAACGGCCCGCAUUCAGUUGGUAUAACGAACCUUUCUCCAAGACUUGAAGCAAGAGCGUUGUGCCAAAUCAUUCAACAUCAAUACAUGUGUAAAAGAUUCUUUGGCCCAUGCGGUGAGAUCGAGACACAACAUGUCGCCAACAAUUGGCUUUGUGUUAGUUCUCACUUGCAUCACCACUUUCAAUGUCUUUCCUACCAGAGGCGCGGAUCAUGAACUCAAAAACCUACAUUGUUUACUUAAGUUUACCUGAAAGCCAAGAUUUGUCUAAUCCGCACAAGAUUGAGAGCAUUCACAUUCAAUCCACUAUAUUUUCACCCUAAAUUACACUAAAAAACACUACAUUUUCUCUCUCCUUUUCAAUUAAAUAAUAUUUUUUUAUACCUUUAUCAUUAUCUUUUCUCUCUCCUCCACUCAUAACCACUUUCAAAAUAUAUUAAAAAAUUAUAGGGGGUGAACAGUGUCCCCCCAAAUAUACAGAUAAACAGUAACAUUUUCUCUCUCCUCCACUCACAACCAGUUUUUAUACUCUUCAUAUUUUAAAAACACCACACACAUGAUUUAGUUAUUUGGAUGUGAAUGCUCUCAGAAGAAUGGUAUAAUUCGUUUUUUUGUCAAAAGUAGCUUCCAAGUCAACCAAGAAAACCAAAGAUGGUGUACGCGUAUCACCACGUGAUUACAGGAUUUUCUGCAAAAAUGUCGGUAUGUAACCCCUCUGGUCACUGUAUGCCAGCAAUAUCUAAGCGGGCAUGGAUGCAGCUAGUGGAGAAGGUGUGAAUGUGAUUUCAGUUUCCUUGGUGGUUUCCCCGCCCUUUCAUGAAGAUGCUAUCGCGAUAGGUGCCUUUCGUGCCAUACUGAAAGGGAUCUUCGUAAGCUGUUCAGCAGUUCUCCAAGACUUGAAGCAAGAGCGUUGUGCCAAAUCAAUCAACAUCAAUACAUGUGUAAAAGAUUCUUUGGCCCAUGCGGUGAGAUCGAGACACAACAUGUCGCCAACAAUUGGCUUUGUGUUAGUUCUCAUUUGCAUCACCACUUUCAAUGUCUUUCCUACCAGAGGCGCGGAUCAUGAACUCAAAGCCUACAUUGUUUACUUAAGUUUACCUGAAAGCCAAGAUUUGUCUAAUCCGCACAAGAUUGAGAGCAUUCACAUUCAAUCCACUAUAUUUUCACCCUAAA